ACAUCCAGAGAAUUUAGCAGAGAUGCUUUAGUGCCUUCGGGAACUCUGAGACAGGUGCUGCAUGGCUGUCGUCAGCUCGUGUUGUGAGAUGUUGGGUUAACGUCCGCAACGAGCGCAACCCUUAUCCUUUGUUGCCAGCACGUAAUGGUGGGAACUCAAAGGAGACUGCCGGUGAUAAACCGGAGGAAGGUGGGGAUGACGUCAAGUCAUCAUGGCCCUUACGAGUAGGGCUACACACGUGCUACAAUGGCGUAUACAAAGAGAAGCGACCUCGCGAGAGCAAGCGGACCUCAUAAAGUGCGUCGUAGUCCGGAUUGGAGUCUGCAACUCGACUCCAUGAAGUCGGAAUCGCUAGUAAUCGUAAAUCAGAAUGUUACGGUGAAUACGUUCCCGGGCCUUGUACACACCGCCCGUCACACCAUGGGAGUGGGUUGCAAAAGAAGUAGAUAGCUUAACCUUCGGGAGGGCGUUUACCACUUUGUGAUUCAUGACUGGGGUGAAGUCGUAACAAGGUAGGCGUAGUGCU
This 526-nucleotide ribosomal RNA is filed under the name uncultured bacterium. Its description in RNAcentral is "bacterial SSU rRNA". It matches the Rfam family "Bacterial small subunit ribosomal RNA", at positions 984 to 1509 of the family's 1533-position model. The record is from RNAcentral.